This is a long non-coding RNA of Platichthys flesus (European flounder), 1406 nucleotides long. RefSeq lists it as uncharacterized. The record is from RefSeq and is a predicted model, not a curated record. NCBI's taxonomy places the organism in Eukaryota, Metazoa, Chordata, Actinopteri, Pleuronectiformes, Pleuronectidae. The transcript has 2 exons.
UGCUGUUGUGUAACAGCUGAAAGUCACAAGGCUUCCACACAAACCCGCUCACACCAUAUUAAGUGUUAUGUGAGUUAUGAAACGUUGGGUGUUGAUGCUGCUGCAUCACGACUUAGCAGCGCUAGCUAGCGGAUACUACACAGCAUAAACCACAGCUAGCAUCGAUGCUACAUGAGAGAUAACUUACCGUUUCCUGUCGUCGGGGUCGGGCGCUGUCUGUCAGAAUGGGCUACACAAGGAGAAGAUCCUCCCUACCUGGAGUCCACCCUGUUGCACCACCAUGUAUCGACAAACCAAGACCACCAUAGCUUCUCCUACACACUGGGAAGGGAGGUUAAGGGAAGGAGUACUCAGUUUGUUGUAAUUUGCAGCAUCACCACUAGAUGUCAGUAUAUCCUACACACUGAGACUGUAAAGUGAUAACAAAGGAACCCUCCUCAUUCGGCAGAUGAACGUGAAAACAGCUAACCGUAAAAUAUGUACAGUGACAUUUACAAAAGCACAUUUGAGGAGAGGGACAUUAAGGUAAAAACUGACAAAAAAUGUACAAAUACAUUAUAACAAAUACCCUCAGUUAGUCAGCCUUGUAAAAAAGUGUUGUAGAAGAAACCAUUUAAAACAGGAUUCCACUAUAUGCUCAAACACCUUACAGUGUGAUGUGCCACAAUUCAACAGAACCACAAACUGUAGCCUCCAAAAUUAUCAUGGAUGUGAGUCAUCACCUCUGUGAGAGAGUUUAAAGGAAAAACUUGCUGCAUGACUGAUGUAGUCUGCAUUAGUUUUGCAUUAGCUCAUACACAACAGAAGUUUUAAACAGUUGUACAUAAGCAAAGACAUCAGCAAUGUUCAGCACUUUGCCAUCAGUGGUUGCCAUUAAAUAUGCUUAGAGUGCAAAGACACAGAUUGUUGUGUGUGUGCAGAGGUAUUUACAGAUACACAGAGGUGAUCAUUCUCCUGCAGUUUCAGAGGUGGCCACUAGAGGAAGACAUGUUCCAACAAUGGAGUUUAUAAAAGGCUGAAGGCAACAUCAGCAAAUUCAUGAAAUACCAAUGAAUCAAAGCAUCAUCAGCUGGCCAUCUAUUGUGAAGGAUAACUCAUUUCAAUAUUGUAAGAGGACGUUUUGAGUAAUUGAAGAAACUAUACUUUGUUCAGCACAUUUCUACAUAACACACAGUCUUUUGAAGGAUGUAGUGUUGUCAUCAUGAGAUUUGUUCUUUUUUAAAGCCUGUUGUUUCCUAUGCACCUAAAUCUGCUAUAUUCUUGUCAUUUGCAAAUGAUGUAUCAGGAAACCCUCCCUGUCGUUAUGCAGUGAAUUAUAUUGUAUUGUUUCAGAGGUAUAUAUUUGAUUUUAGACAAUUCAGAUAUACACCGUCACCAGGAUGUUAAAUAAAGACCAACAGGUUUUG